UACGUAGGGCGCAAGCGUUAUCCGGAAUUAUUGGGCGUAAAGAGCUCGUAGGCGGUUUGUCGCGUCUGCCGUGAAAGUCCGGGGCUCAACUCCGGAUCUGCGGUGGGUACGGGCAGACUAGAGUGAUGUAGGGGAGACUGGAAUUCCUGGUGUAGCGGUUAAAUGCGCAGAUAUCAGGAGGAACACCGAUGGCGAAGGCAGGUCUCUGGGCAUUAACUGACGCUGAGGAGCGAAAGCAUGGGGAGCGAACAGG
RNAcentral lists this ribosomal RNA (253 nucleotides) under uncultured bacterium. Its description in RNAcentral is "partial 16S ribosomal RNA". It matches the Rfam family "Bacterial small subunit ribosomal RNA", at positions 524 to 776 of the family's 1533-position model. The record is from RNAcentral.